Molecule: ribosomal RNA, 494 nt
Filed under: uncultured bacterium
Lineage: Bacteria
Description: partial 16S ribosomal RNA
Rfam family: Bacterial small subunit ribosomal RNA
Source: RNAcentral
GACGAACGCUGGCGGCGUGCUUAACACAUGCAAGUCGAACGGAAAGGCCUGCUUUCCCUUGUGGAUUGCGGGUACUCGCGUGGCGAACGGGUGAGUAACACGUGAGUGAUCUGCCCCCAACUUGGGUAUAAGCCUGGGAAACUGGGUCUAAUUCCCGAUAGGACUGCAGGGUGGUGCCUGUGGUGGAAAACGAUUUUCUAGUGGUUGGGGAUGAGCUCGCGGCCUAUCAGCUUGUUGGUGGGGUAAUGGCCUACCAAGGCGGCGACGGGUAGCCGGCCUGGGAGGGUGGACGGCCACAUUGGGACUGGGAUACGGCCCAGACUCCUACGGGAGGCAGCAGUGGGGAAUAUUGCACCAUGGGCGGAAGCCUGAUGCAGCGACGCCGCGUGGGGGAUGACGGCCUUCGGGUUGUAAACUCCUUUCGACCGCGAGGAAGCCACCUGGUUGGAAGGGUGGUGACGGUAGUGGUAGAAGAAGCACCGGCUAACUACGUG